AUAAUUUUAAGUAUAAUCUGCUCCUGUUCUAAUAAAUAGCCGCAAUAAUUAUAUUGUGCUAAGGUAGCAUAAUCAUUAGCCUUUUAAUUAAAGGCUAGAAUGAAAGAUUUAACACUUUAAUUUCUUUUUUCUUUUAAAUAAUUAAAUUUUAACUAAAUAUAAAAAUGUAUUUAUAAAAAAAAAAGACGAUAAGACCCUAUUGAACUUUACUUAAGUUUAGCUGGGGAAGCUAAUUAAAAACAAUUUUAAUUUAAAAAUUUUAUAAAUAUUCCAAUUUAACUGAAUCAAACAAGUUACCAUAGGGAUAACAGCGUAAUAUUUUUUUAAAGCUCUUAUAAAAAAAAAAGUUUACGACCUCGAUGUUGAAUUAUCUUUACUUUAAAACGCAAUAGUCAUAAAAGUAGGUCUGUUCGACCUUUAAAUAGUUACAUGAUUUGAGUUCAAAUCGGUGUAAACCAGAUUGGUUUCUAUCUUUUAAAAAUUUUUAUCUAGUACGAAAGGACCCAUAAAUUUAUUUAAA
Molecule: ribosomal RNA, 520 nt
Filed under: Orsonwelles othello
Lineage: Eukaryota; Metazoa; Arthropoda; Arachnida; Araneae; Linyphiidae
Description: partial 16S ribosomal RNA
Rfam family: Bacterial large subunit ribosomal RNA (bases 180-476)
Source: RNAcentral